GAAGCCCCGCACUGUGUGAUGCUAGACUCUAGCCUUGACCUCUCCAGCCUGUCUAGAUUUGGGGACCCCUGGACAGGUGAUGAGCAUCUGUCCUGAGGGCUGGAACAGGGGCACAGCCCCCUGUCCCAAGUUCUCUAGACUUGUCACCCACCCCAUGCCCCUUGUAUGCUCCCUGGUGGUUCAGUCCAUCUGGGUGUUCUCCAGGACCUCAUGUCCCACAAGGUAAACCCAAACCCUCCCGAUUGAUUGGUGCUGUUCUCUAGGUUGAUUCACCAGCCAGAAUCAGUUAAGAUUUAAGGAGAAUGGAGUAGAUGUAAGAGUUCCUGUUGCCUAUUAAGGACUGGGUGCUUGCCUGGUCUGUGGAAGCGCCUGGAAGCUGGUCCUAGAGACCUCUGGUCUCCAAUCCCUGCUCUACCCUGCUGCAGGGACAUCCCCAGGUUAAGUGCAUGGUCCAGGGAACAGCUGAGAGGGCAGGAGCAAGGGGGUGUCCAUGGGUGGGAGUGCCCCUGGAAGUUCUUUCAAUCUAUGUGCAGUUCUCAACUCCCACCUUCAGGAUCCCUCAGGAUUGGGAUGGUGGGGAAUGUGGCUCUGAGGACGGAUUUUGUUAAAUUCAUAAAUCAUCAAAUUCAGCCAUUAAAGUAUACAACUCAGUGGUUUUUAGAGUAUUUACAGAGUUGUGCAGUUGUCAUCACUAUUUCCACAGCGUUUCACUACCCCACAAAGAAAUCUCUUACCCAUCAGCAGGUGCCCCCAUGGCCCUCUCCCCCAGCCCCUGUGGACCACUGGACCACUUGCUGUGUCUAUAGAUCUGGCUAUUCUGGACAUUUCAUAUAAAUGGAAUCAUACAAUAUGUAGCCUUUUGUGUCUGACUUCUUUCACUUAGCAUAAUGUCCAUCCAUGUAGUAGCAUGUACCAAAAUUUCGUUCCUUUCUACGGUGGAAUAAUAUUCCAUUGCAUGUAUAGAUCACAUUUUGUUUAUCCAUUCAUCUGUCCAUAGACACUUAGACUGUUUCCGCCUUUUUGCUAUUGUGAGUAGUUCUUCUAUGAAUAUGCACGUGCAAAUAUUUGAGUACCUGUUUUCACUUCUCCUGGGUCUAUACCUAUGAGCAGAAUUGCUGGGUCAUAUGGUAACUCUAGGUUUAACUUUUUGAGGAACUACCAAACUGUUUUCCACAGCAGCUGCACCAUUUUACAUUCCUUCCAGCAACAGAGGAGUGUUCUAAUUUCUCCACAUCCUCGCCAACACUUGUUCUUUUCCAUUUUCUUGGUAACAGCCAUUCCAAUGGGUGACAAGUAGUAUCUCAUUGUGGUUUUGAUUUGCAUUUCCCCGAGGGCUAACGCCAUUGCACAUCUUUUCAUGUGCUUGUUGGCCGUUAGUCUAUCACUUUAGAGAAAUGUCUGUCUAAGUCCUUUGUCCAUUUUCUAACUGGGCUAUUCGUCUUUUCAUUGUUGAGUUAUGAGUUCUUUACGUAUUCUGUAUACUAGACCUGGUAUCAGAUAGGCAAUUUGCAUUCAUUUUCACCCAUCAUGUGGGUUGCCUUUUUGCUUUCUCGAUGCUAUCAUUUGAAGCACUGAAGUUUUAAUUGUGAUGAAGUCAAGUUUAUUGAUUUUUUUUAUUGCUUGUGCUUUUGGUGUCCAAGAGCAAAAUUUGAUUCCCAGUAAGCCUGCAGGAAGCCGCUCAUCAGCAGCAGCUGCCCUCUCCUUUCCUCAGUGCCAGCGCCGGGUCGAGAGGACACCACACUGCACUGCAGAUCAGCAGUCCAUCUGACCUCUGGGUCCUCCUGUCCCUUAUAAAGCUGGCUGAAGAGAGCUUUGUAAUCUCAUUAUGACGGAAUUUCCCAGGUGGCUGGGAAGGCAGCCUGUAAGCGGGAGUGUUAGAAAGUGAGUGUGAACCUAUGAUCCACCAACCCAGGAUGUCACCCAACCUGGCUGUAGGGUUUUCUCCACUCAGAUCGGACAGCCUGGGGAGCUGCCAAGAGGGAACAGACUUGUUUGUUCUUGAAGCUCUUCAGUGCAGUGUAAUACUCAGAGUUUUUGUCUUGCAGCAUGGACACGAAGGAGGACCUGGGGAGCCAGCUGGCCCUAGAACAAGCAGCGAUAACAGCCAAAUGCAAUCAGGGAUGACAUGCAGGGUGCCUGCAGAACCUGCGGAGGAUGCUGACCUCUCACUAUACAAAGUCACCGACCAUCUUGCUUUUCUGCAGUGAGUUGUCUAGACACCCCUCCAUCUCAACUCAGGGAUGGUCUCUGUUUGCAGAAACACCUCUCUGGAGGCAGGACCUGUCUCCCCAGCUCAGGGCCUUAUCCCCUGGUGCCCACUGUGGGCCAGGGUGUGCACUGGGCUCAAGCCAAGAGACCCAGCAUGCAAACUUGAGGAAAUGGGCAGGGGGUGGAGCUGGGCAUUGGGCCAGGUGCUUGGGCCUUCAGCAGUGUGGCCUCCAUGCCCGUAACGGAGAGGGGGUGAUGGUGUCCACCUCCCAGGCCAGAGGGAGAGUCCAGCCCGGUCAGCAGUGGUUCCACAGGGUGAGGGGCACCUGAGCAAGCCUGUGGGCAGUUGUCCAGCAGGUCUCCGAGGGCUCAAGUGGGCCCAGUUGAGUGGCCAUGUGGCGACUAGCAUGAGGGCAACAAGGGGUGUGGCCUCAGGCAUUGAGGGGACAGGCAGGGGGAGCAUUCUGGCAGGACCUGGCCUCAGAAUCUCAUGGGAUGGUGACAGGCAGGUCGAGUUUGAGGCUGAAGACAACCUGACCCCUUGGUCUGGUGCUAGGAGGAGAUUUGGGGUGGAAGGCGGGCCAGGUUGUUGUCAAGGGUGAGAGGAGAGGACACUGGAGGAGGAUGGGAUUAGGGUGGUGUGUGUGUGUGUGUGUGUGUGUGUGUGUCUACCUGGACGGAGCUAGCCUGCAGCAGGGCCGAAGGCGCUGGGCUCCUGGGAUGGUGGCAUCCUCUUUGGGGGAGGACAGCCUGGAAUGGGGAGAGGCCCAGGGCCAAAGCGACUCACCUGAGACACCUGAGCCAGGAGCCUCGGUCAGUCCUGAAGGCAUGAAGGCCUCUGCAGUGCUCUCUAAAGACACUGCUGGUCAAAAGUGCAGGCGAGAAGCCGUGGAGGAGGCGCCAUGAUCAGGCGGGGGAGGGGUGGUGGUGCAGAGCAGAGAGGGUGGAUGACCCCCAUCAGCAGAAGGGAGGAUGGGGAGGAGGCUGCCCUGGUGCAUGGAGUGUGAAGGUAGAGAGCGCAGCAGGCUGUGCGGUGAUGCUGCAGUGGGAGGGAAGGAAGCCAACGGCCACCAUGAGAAGCAGGCUGAGGCUGGAUACACGGCACGGGGCCAACCUGUCUGCCCCUCGGUCACACUCAUUGCCCAGUGGAUGAGCAGUUGUUUGGGCCAAUCAGGGGUGGGUCGUGCUCAGAGGUUCUGACAAGAUAAGGGGUAAAAGAUAGGCCAGAGUGGCUGAAGUGACGGACGAGAGAGGGGUGAAGUCAGGGGACGGGAGGGGUGCAGAGAGAGGCAGGAUAGACGGCAGACAGACCCAUGAGGGGCAUGAGGAUGUCAGCAGGAUGGGCACAGGGUGUACCCUGGCUGUACUGGGGAGUUCUCAGGCUGGCCCAACCCCAGGACAGUGGCAGGUCACCUUCUGGGGGCCUGCUAUCAGGACGCAGCCCAUUCCCCGUGCCAGCACUGUCCCUUCUUAGGCUCCUACAGAGGCCACUGCCUCUGGCAUGACUGUGGCUGGAGCCCCAUAAGCACCUGGCAGCCGCUGCCCUCCCUCUGCCCCAUGUUGCUGGCACCCUCCUGGGGUUAGCCCUCCCUUCCAGAGUCACCUGGGCUGAGACUUGGGGUUUAGUGAGGGGAGGGCCUGGUCCUUCCCUGGCACCUGGCCUGGGGCAGGUCCUCAUGGCUCUGCUUCUUUUGCCUUCCAGUGAGAAGGAGCUGCCCAGCCUCAGCACCCGGGGCGGGGGGGGGGGGGGGGGGGGGGGGGCCGGUAAUGGUAAGAGCUUGUCCUCACUGUGCAGGCAGGAGGAGGUCCAUGGGUGCAGGGACUGGGGUUCCUGCCACCCCCGACCUCCAAGCUGUCCUGGGGGAGGUUUUACCAAAUCCACUUGUCCCAGAACCACACACUCAGCUCAGGGGUCACUGCCCGCUGGCUGCCAAGACCCCACCUCGAGGCUGGGACCCAGCUGGAAGCCCUGGUGUCUGUGUGAGUCAGUCUGUGCCUUUUCUGGCUCCUCUGAGUUCGCCCACAUCGGGGCUCCUAAGCAUGACUCAACGCUGUGCCACUCCAGGAAAGCUGGCAGCUUGGCUAACACCACCAUUUCUCAUUUUCUAGCAGAAACUCCGGGAGACUGGGCGAGCAGAUAAGUGGGUCAAGAUGCUAAAGGAAUGGUAUAAAUACCAGAGCAGCAAGAAGAUAGAGAACUGAGCACUAGAUAGGCGGUAUGCUCUCCUGAUCCCAAGGAGGACGGGCCUGGAUCCCCAGGGCAGCUCGCAGCUUCCCUGACCACCCCACAAGGGUCACCUCGCCUGGAGAGGAUCUGACGCCAGAGCCGGAGCCAGCCCAGGCCCAGGGCCUCAUAGGGAAGGAUAAGUCAGGACCAUAGUUCACAAUGUCCCUCGAGCCCUCGUCCACUCUUAAUUGUGGGAGACAGGGCCCAGUUCUGGGUAAACCCAACCUCUUCUGAGAAACCACGGAGCUGAAGACUAGAAUCUUCCAGAUGCGUCCGACUCAUCUCCUCCGCAGCGUCGCCCUGUGGCCUGUUUCACCAGAGCUUUCUUCUAUCCUGUAGAAGCAUCGAAGGUCUCCAAAGGAAUCCUUUGACAGAUGCAAGAUCAGGUGUGGUCUCUCCGAUUGGACGUUCA
Molecule: long non-coding RNA, 4847 nt
Filed under: Equus caballus (horse)
Lineage: Eukaryota; Metazoa; Chordata; Mammalia; Perissodactyla; Equidae
Description: lncRNA (ENSECAG00000050284.1)
Source: RNAcentral